RNAcentral lists this ribosomal RNA (426 nucleotides) under uncultured bacterium. RNAcentral describes it as "bacterial SSU rRNA". It matches the Rfam family "Bacterial small subunit ribosomal RNA", at positions 356 to 773 of the family's 1533-position model. The record is from RNAcentral.
AGGGAAUUUUGCGCAAUGGACGAAAGUCUGACGCAGCAAUACCGUGUGAGGGAUGAAGCAUUUCGGUGUGUAAACCUCUGUCGAUGAUGAAUAAAGCAUUGGGGAGUGGAAAGCCCCGGUGUUGAAGGUAAUCAUGAAGGAAGCACCGGCUAACUCUGUGCCAGCAGCCGCGGUAAUACAGGGGGUGCAAGCGUUGUUCGGAAUUACUGGGCGUAAAGGGAGCGUAGGCGGAAUUGCAAGACAGAGGUUAAAUCUCCGGGCUCAACCUGGAACUUGCCUUUGUGACUGCAGUUCUUGAGUAUGGCAGAGGUCAGUGGAAUUUCCGGUGUAGCGGUGGAAUGCGUAGAGAUCGGAAAGAACACCAGAGGCGAAGGCGACUGACUGGACCAAUACUGACGCUGAGGCUCGAAAGCGUGGGGAGCAAAC